UGGGGAAUAUUGCGCAAUGGGCGAAAGCCUGACGCAGCGACGCCACGUGAGUGACGACGUCUUUCGGGAUGUAAAGCUCUGUCAAGAGGGACGAUUAUGACUGUACCUCUAAAGGAAGCCCCGGCUAACUACGUGCCAGCAGCCGCGGUAAUACGUAGGGGGCGAGCGUUAUCCGGAUUCAUUGGGCAUAAAGAGUACGUAGGCGGUAUUUUAAGUCAUGUGUUAAAUACAUCAGCUCAACUGAUGCACGCGCCUGAAACUGAAAUACUAAAGACUAGUAAAGGAAAGCGGAACUCACGGUGUAGCGGUGAAAUGCGUAGAUAUCGUGAGGAACACCAGUUGCGAAGGCGGCUUUCUAGACUAAUUCUGACGCUGAGGUGCGAAAGCAUGGGUAGCGAAGAGG
Molecule: ribosomal RNA, 403 nt
Filed under: uncultured bacterium
Lineage: Bacteria
Description: bacterial SSU rRNA
Rfam family: Bacterial small subunit ribosomal RNA
Source: RNAcentral